AGAGAUGCUCAGAGGAGAGAUCGAGAUAGAGAGAGGCGAGCCAGAAGGUGGUCCCGGUCUAGAUCUUGCUCUCGAUCGCCAUCAAGAUCAAGAACGAAGAGUAAGAGUUCAUCAUUUGGUAGAAACGAAAGAGAUACUUACUCUCCCCGGUGGAGGGAAAAAUGGACAAAUGAUGGUUGGAGGUGUCCCAGAGGGAACGACCGGUACCGGAGGAAUGAUUCAGAGAAACAGAAUGAAAACACAA
Molecule: long non-coding RNA, 244 nt
Filed under: Rattus norvegicus (Norway rat)
Lineage: Eukaryota; Metazoa; Chordata; Mammalia; Rodentia; Muridae
Description: long non-coding RNA NONRATT020176
Source: RNAcentral